GGUUGCUCAGUGGUAGAGUGCUUGCCUUGAAUGCAUGAAGCCCUGGGUUCAAUUCCUCAGUACCA
This 65-nucleotide transfer RNA is filed under the name Dipodomys ordii (Ord's kangaroo rat). It matches the Rfam family "tRNA". Rfam says of the family: Transfer RNA (tRNA) molecules are approximately 80 nucleotides in length. Their secondary structure includes four short double-helical elements and three loops (D, anti-codon, and T loops). Lineage: Eukaryota; Metazoa; Chordata; Mammalia; Rodentia; Heteromyidae. The record is from Rfam by way of RNAcentral.